Molecule: long non-coding RNA, 1636 nt
Filed under: Prunus persica (peach)
Lineage: Eukaryota; Viridiplantae; Streptophyta; Magnoliopsida; Rosales; Rosaceae
Description: long non-coding RNA (PPER_LNC006388)
Source: RNAcentral
GGAAUUUAAUUUUUAAGUACAAGUGAUUAGGGAGGGAGUUUACAGAAAUAUUCAUUGGACGUCUGGACUUUUCGAACCUCUACUACUGGGUGAAGGUGAGGGAGCUCAACCAAUGAACUAUACCUCAUUGCCAUAUUGGAUUGUUUUGGUGUAUCUCGAAUCUCUGCAUUUAGAAUUCGUGCAUUUACCCGCAUUUCGUGAUAUCAAAACCAUACAAAUAAUCUAAUGGCUUAGAUCAGUCCACAUUAGCUAGCUAGGAUAUUUUUUUUUUUUCUUUCCAAAUAAUGGUAAUGUCGUUACUCUCUUAUAUAUAUAUAUUAUGGCUUGUAUUAAAAAAUAAAAAUAAAACAAAUAGUUAAUUGGUUAUCUUCUUAACAUUAAUAGGAUUCAUUCCAUCGUUACCCUCCUUUAUUUAUAUUUGUUACAACUAAACCCUAUAUUCUUCCAAUAUCCUUUUCUGUUAGUAACUAUAAACAAAAAGUAUCAUUUUUGUUAUUUCAUCACAUUAGAUUGACGAAAUAACAAUUUUUCCCUCCUAAUUACUAAGGAAAUAAUUUUCUUUCUUCGUCUUUUCUUUUUUUUUGGAUCAAGGUUGGAGCUAGUUCUUUGAUGAAAUUUUCAACAAUUAUGAACUUUUUUAUUUUAUUUUUAUUUUUUAUAGUACAAGUAAUAGUCUAAAUCACAGAGGAGGGAAAUUUCUCUCUCUCUCUCUCUCUCUCUCUCUCUCUCUCUCUCUCUCUCACACACACACACACACACACACACAAUUAUGAUGUCGUGGGCGGAGCUAGAAUUAAAGUUAAGAGGGGCAGAAGUAGAAAAUACAAAUGUAUAAAACACCUAAAUAUUCAAUAAAUAUUAUAUGUUUAGAGCUAAAUAUUUCUAAUUGACUCAUGUCUAAUUUGUUUUAAAGGAAUUUUUAACUUGAAUUCUAAGUUGUUUAUUAUAAAUUCUGUAAAUUAUAUAUAAUAUAAUAGAGGAGGGAUAAAAAUAUUGGCGGGGGGCCAGGGCCACUCUAGGUCUAGGAGUGACUCCGCCAAUGAUCGUGGGGAUUCGAUAUUGAAACAUCUAGUCCACAAGUUAACGCCCUUUUCUACUAGACUAAACUCGUAUACAACAGUUAUGAACUUGAUAAAACGAUUAUGCAUAAAAUAUGUAGAAAAUUAGUUAAAUACCCAUUCCUAGACAUAAAACUAUAAAUAAACCCCAUGCUACUUAAUGUACUGUUGAUUUUUUCAAUUCAACAGUUAUAUUGGAUUACAAUUUUGCCAUUUUGGGUGCAAUUUUGAGAAACAGCCGACGUAAAUUUUUUUUCAAAUCUUUUAUUUAAUAACAAUUAUGUUGUAGAUUGAAGAGGAAUAAGAAGAAGAAGAAGAAGAAGAGCAUCGACCAUGGCGAUGCAUGAGCUCAUGACUUGUGGAGCAGCUUGUGCGGCUCCAGGCUCAUCUUCUUCCGCCAAUCCUUUCGGUGCUCUAGGCUACGCUCUUAUCUGUUCUUCUUCCAAGACUUAGGUUCGUCGUCUUCCUCGUCGCUUCUUUCACUUUCAAGUUCUCUUCUCCAUUUCGAAUUUUCAAUCCUCAAGUGGCCUCAAUGGCGUCAUUUUCUCAAGCUUUCAUUUGAUUCACGAGCAGGAAAG